RNAcentral lists this ribosomal RNA (301 nucleotides) under uncultured bacterium. Its description in RNAcentral is "partial 16S ribosomal RNA". It matches the Rfam family "Bacterial small subunit ribosomal RNA", at positions 509 to 807 of the family's 1533-position model. The record is from RNAcentral.
CAGUAGCCGCGGUAACACGGAGGGAGCUAGCGUUGUUCGGAAUUACUGGGCGUAAAGCGCGCGUAGGCGGUUACUCAAGUCAGAGGUGAAAGCCCGGGGCUCAACCCCGGAACUGCCUUUGAAACUAGGUGACUAGAAUCUUGGAGAGGUCAGUGGAAUUCCGAGUGUAGAGGUGAAAUUCGUAGAUAUUCGGAAGAACACCAGUGGCGAAGGCGACUGACUGGACAAGUAUUGACGCUGAGGUGCGAAAGCGUGGGGAGCAAACAGGAUUAGAUACCCCCGUAGUCCCUGUCUCUUAUAC